GUAGUCCACGCCGUAAACGAUGGAUACUAGCUGUCCGGACCUCGGUCUGGGUGGCUAAGCGAAAGUGAUAAGUAUCCCACCUGGGGAGUACGUUCGCAAGAAUGAAACUCAAAGGAAUUGACGGGGGCCCGCACAAGCGGUGGAGCAUGUGGUUUAAUUCGAUGAUACGCGAGGAACCUUACCAGGGCUUAAAUGUGGAGUGACAGGUCUAGAGACAGACCCUUCUUCGGACACUCCACAAGGUGCUGCAUGGUUGUCGUCAGCUCGUGCCGUGAGGUGUCAGGUUAAGUCCUAUAACGAGCGCAACCCCUGUCGUUAGUUGCCAGCAUGUAAAGAUGGGAACUCUAGCGAGACUGCCGGUGCAAACCGCGAGGAAGGUGGGGAUGACGUCAAAUCAUCACGGCCCUUACGUCCUGGGCUACACACGUGCUACAAUGGCCGGUACAGAGAGCAGCCACGCCGCAAGGCGGAGCGAAUCUACAAAACCGGUCACAGUUCGGAUCGGGGUCUGCAACUCGACCCCGUGAAGCUGGAAUCGCUAGUAAUCGCAGAUCAGCCAUGCUGCGGUGAAUACGUUCCCGGGCCUUGUACACACCGCCCGUCAAGCCAUGGAAGCCGGGAGUGCCUGAAGUCCGUCACCGCAAGGAGCGGCCUAGGGUAAAAUCGGUAACUAGGGCU
This 678-nucleotide ribosomal RNA is filed under the name uncultured bacterium. RNAcentral describes it as "bacterial SSU rRNA". It matches the Rfam family "Bacterial small subunit ribosomal RNA", at positions 790 to 1482 of the family's 1533-position model. The record is from RNAcentral.